Molecule: long non-coding RNA, 2366 nt
Organism: Callorhinchus milii (elephant shark)
Lineage: Eukaryota; Metazoa; Chordata; Chondrichthyes; Chimaeriformes; Callorhinchidae
Exons: 3
Source: RefSeq, a predicted model, not a curated record
GAGGCACGUACACUCCAUGAGAUGUUCACUUGAACCCAGCAUGAUUUUGGCCAGGUGACCUAAUGUCCACACUAUGAUUGGAUGGACACAAGCUUAAGACACGGUGCCAGACCAGGAUCGGCGCCCGGGACAGUACCCACCGUGGGGGGAAGACUGAGAGCUGGAAGGCAGAAGUAGACAACCACAAGGAGGGAUUACGCGGUAGUAUUGUUCUGUUAGUGAAUCGACUGAUUGUGUUUACUUGCCCACGGCCAUCGGGAACUUGGACGGAUCCUGGAGUUUAAUAAACACCAUUCUGGUUGCAAACAGUGGCUGUGUUUGAUUGGAACUCGAAAAAAGGUUUUUCCAUCACAAUUUGGCGUAGUCGGCAGGAUCGUUCAGGAAAGUGGGACGGAGAAACUCAUCGGAAUCUCCUAGAACGGGUGAUGAAAGCGCUUCUUCAAGUUGGAUUGAAACCUAACCCCAUGAAGGUACGGUUGUGUGUUCCAGCUGUCUCUUUUCUAGGUGUACAACUGGAUGCAGAGGGACUUCGACCCGAUGCUCAUUAAGUCGACAUCAUCCAGCGCCUCCCACUGCCUGUGACCAAGACUGCGUUCGUUCCUUCCUUGGACUGGUGGGGUACCAAAGGCAAUUUCUCCCACCAUUUGCUGAACUGGCCAAGCCGCUGGCGAUAUCCCUGAUGAUCUCCGCGAACACUGGACGGCGAACAUACAGAAGCUGUGUCUCAACUUAAAGAAGCAGUGAUGCAGGCUGCUGCCUUGGUGCACCCCAGCCUGAGCAGCCGGUUCACUUAGAGGUUGCCGGAGGUCCUAUUGCAUUAGCAGCCGUUUUGACUCAGCAGUUUGAAGGAACGACGUUGGUUCACGCAUCACUUCUGAGAUGUCUGGCUGAUGAGAUAUCCCGUUGCACCCAUCCGAUGUAUGUUGGUAAGGUGGCUGGUCAUCAAAAGACUGGACCACACUCGCACAGGAACAAUCGUGCUGAUGUCGUUGCUCUCCAGUCUGCUCUUGAUGGAGAAGCAUGGAUUUUUUCCCCUCUUCCAUCCCACUCAGUGAUGAGUAUCUCCACUUCGCCCUCUUUGACUGAUUUGAUUAAACUCCAGAAUUCAUAUUCGCCUUACAUCGAAGCCGUGCAGUGGCAUCAGGAGCAACUUGCUGGACUUGAUAUCCAUCCCAAGCCACAAUAUGAUUGGCUGGUGCACACCCAUUUGUAUGUUCUUCUGGACUCUCUGGCCUCCCCUGUUCUCAUGUAUUCUAAGCGCGAUAUCUCCACUGUGUGUAUUCCCCCAGAUUGUGCUGAUGCGAUGUUUCAGUUAUACCACUCACAUCCUACUGGUGGUCACUUUGGUCCCUCAAAAACCAUCACUAAGUUGUUCCCGAACGUUUCAUGACGUUCGGGAACAAUGUAAGAUGUGCCUUGUGAGCCUGCAGCACAAUCCCCCUCGAUUUACUAAUUGAGCAUUAUUGCAGAGUGCACCCUCUCCCUCGGGUCCUUGGACCAAUAUUCAGAUUGAUUUUAUUGGGCCAUUGUCCGCAGCUGCCGGUAGUUACAAAUACUGUUCAGUUAUUAUUGAUAAGUUUACAAAAUGGAUUGAAGCUUUCCCGGCUAAAAAUAACACAGCGCUCACUGCUGCACACAUUUUAUUGCGUGAGGUGAUCUGCAGGUGGGGAAUCCCUGGUAUAUUGGAUAGUGAUCAGGGAUCACAUUUCACGGGCGAAGUUUUCACCAAAUUGAUGGAAUUGCUGGAAAUUGAUCAUAAAUUGCAUGUGUCAUACCAUCCUCAAUCCUCAGGGGUAGUAGAAAGAAGUAACCGCACAUUAAAGGUUUUGUUGUCAAAAUUUUGUGCAGAUCACGCAAUGGAUGAAGGGAUUGCCACUGUGUCUAAUGGCAAUUCGCUCCACCCCACAUGCUACUACUGGCAUUUCACCCGAUCAAGCGAUGACAUGUCGUUUAAUGAGGCUACCAGGUUGUACAGUAGUGAUGACUAAACAAGCCCUCGAACAAUUAGAGGGUAAUGUUAAAUUUCAGGGAACUGUGGAGGAGACAUGGCUGAAAGAGAUGCUAAAGAUCAUACAGGAAACCAACAGCUUUGUGGCCACAAACACUGGUAAGGCGAAAUAAAGUAUGAAGCAACAUUUUGACACUACCGUUAACCAUGUGGAGUAUGAAAUUGGAGAUGAAGUCAUGGUCCGCGUGUAUGGGAAAAAGGAAUCUCCUUUUGCCCCACGAUGGAAAGGGCCUUUUGAAAUUUUGGAAGAGGCAAGCCGGGCAGUAUAUUUAAUUGUCACGCCUUUGUCUUCUAAAUUCACUAAAUGGUAAUCAACUUAAAAUUGUAAAGAAGGGGAAAGGAUAAACUGAUGACUGAA